UUCCGGAGCAAAAAAAUGACAAGACUUGUGGAUAUUUCAUUAUGCGUUACAUGAAAGAAAUUGUGGAGGACAAGAACUUGGAUUUUAGUAUGAAGUGGGGAACGAGGUCAAAUUUGGUUUACACAGUCAAUGAUAUUGAUGAGAUCCGAGCGGAAUGGGCUGAGCAUGUUUUGAAGUUCCCAGAAAAUUAAGUAUCAGCCUAUAUAUAUGCUUUUGUUUCUGGUAGGUUAUGAGCAGUAGUAGUGUCUAGGAACUGCUUUUGUGCAUUUUGACAGAACUGCCUAUAUAUAUGCUUUUGUUUCUGGUAGGUUAUGAGCAGUAGUAGUGGCUAGGAACUGCUUUUGUGCAUUUUGACAGAACUGAUGGAAAGUGUUGAACAAAUGCAUGCAGUUGCUGUAACUACUCUAUGGAUGCUACUAGGUUUUUGUCUUAGUUAGAUUAAGAUCCGUGCAACAAUGGCAGUCAUUAAAAUCAUUUAAUGUAAAGGCUAGCAUGCUAGCUAGUUUAGUAUUAUGCUA
Long non-coding RNA from Rosa rugosa (rugosa rose), 518 nucleotides. RefSeq lists it as uncharacterized. The record is from RefSeq and is a predicted model, not a curated record. The transcript is spliced from 2 exons. Lineage: Eukaryota; Viridiplantae; Streptophyta; Magnoliopsida; Rosales; Rosaceae.